UACGAAGGGGGCUAGCGUUGCUCGGAAUCACUGGGCGUAAAGCGCACGUAGGCGGAUUGUUAAGUCAGGGGUGAAAUCCUGGAGCUCAACUCCAGAACUGCCUUUGAUACUGAGGAUCUUGAGUUCGGGAGAGGUGAGUGGAACUGCGAGUGUAGAGGUGAAAUUCGUAGAUAUUCGCAAGAACACCAGUGGCGAAGGCGGCUCACUGGCCCGAUACUGACGCUGAGGCACGAAGGCCAGGGGAGCAAACGGG
This 253-nucleotide ribosomal RNA is filed under the name uncultured bacterium. RNAcentral describes it as "partial 16S ribosomal RNA". It matches the Rfam family "Bacterial small subunit ribosomal RNA", at positions 524 to 776 of the family's 1533-position model. The record is from RNAcentral.